Molecule: transfer RNA, 59 nt
Filed under: Camelus bactrianus (Bactrian camel)
Lineage: Eukaryota; Metazoa; Chordata; Mammalia; Artiodactyla; Camelidae
Also listed under: 2 other names
Rfam family: tRNA
About the family: Transfer RNA (tRNA) molecules are approximately 80 nucleotides in length. Their secondary structure includes four short double-helical elements and three loops (D, anti-codon, and T loops).
Source: Rfam by way of RNAcentral
GAGGGUGUAGCUCAGUGGUAGAGUGCACAAGGUCCUGGGUUCAAUUCCCAGUACCUCCA